Molecule: ribosomal RNA, 783 nt
Filed under: uncultured bacterium
Lineage: Bacteria
Description: bacterial SSU rRNA
Rfam family: Bacterial small subunit ribosomal RNA
Source: RNAcentral
GAUGAACGCUGGCGGCGUGCUUAACACAUGCAAGUCGAACGAAGCACUUUAUUUGAUUUCCUUCGGGACUGAUUAUUUUGUGACUGAGUGGCGGACGGGUGAGUAACGCGUGGGUAACCUGCCUUGUACAGGGGGAUAACAGUUGGAAACGGCUGCUAAUACCGCAUAAGCGCACGGUAUCGCAUGAUGCAGUGUGAAAAACUCCGGUGGUAUAAGAUGGACCCGCGUUGGAUUAGCUAGUUGGUGAGGUAACGGCCCACCAAGGCGACGAUCCAUAGCCGACCUGAGAGGGUGACCGGCCACAUUGGGACUGAGACACGGCCCAAACUCCUACGGGAGGCAGCAGUGGGGAAUAUUGCACAAUGGGCGAAAGCCUGAUGCAGCGACGCCGCGUGAGCGAAGAAGUAUUUCGGUAUGUAAAGCUCUAUCAGCAGGGAAGAUAAUGACGGUACCUGACUAAGAAGCACCGGCUAAAUACGUGCCAGCAGCCGCGGUAAUACGUAUGGUGCAAGCGUUAUCCGGAUUUACUGGGUGUAAAGGGAGCGCAGGCGGUGCGGCAAGUCUGAUGUGAAAGCCCGGGGCUCAACCCCGGUACUGCAUUGGAAACUGUCGUACUAGAGUGUCGGAGGGGUAAGCGGAAUUCCUAGUGUAGCGGUGAAAUGCGUAGAUAUUAGGAGGAACACCAGUGGCGAAGGCGGCUUACUGGACGAUAACUGACGCUGAGGCUCGAAAGCGUGGGGAGCAAACAGGAUUAGAUACCCUGGUAGUCCACGCCGUAAACGA